CUUAAGAAGCUUUCUUCGAGAUUUUUGUCUCCUUGCAUUUUUUGCUUCCUUCGCUUCCUUUGGACUUUCUUUCUUCUUCUUCUUCUUCAUCCUCCGACCUCGGUUCUAGUAUCAUGGCCAGAACCUCUCCACGAGGAAGUCAGUCGGGGAACCCGACCGACGACUCACGGUCGACCCCGGAGGUGGAUGUUUCUUCACUUUCGGGGGCAAGCGUCGAACGUCUCAGGGAGCAAUACAGUAUCCCGGAGUAGUUCGAGCUCUUCGCCCCUGGGGCUGAGGGUCGGGU
RNAcentral lists this long non-coding RNA (286 nucleotides) under Elaeis guineensis (African oil palm). RNAcentral's name for it is "long non-coding RNA (EGUI_LNC062603)". Lineage: Eukaryota; Viridiplantae; Streptophyta; Magnoliopsida; Arecales; Arecaceae. The record is from RNAcentral.